Molecule: ribosomal RNA, 253 nt
Filed under: uncultured bacterium
Lineage: Bacteria
Description: partial 16S ribosomal RNA
Rfam family: Bacterial small subunit ribosomal RNA
Source: RNAcentral
UACGAAGGGUGCAAACGUUGCUCGGAAUUAUUGGGCGUAAAGCGCACGUAGGCGGCUUAGCAAGUCGGAUGUGAAAUCCCUCGGCUCAACCAAGGAAGUGCAUCCGAAACUGCUGAGCUUGAGUACGAAAGAGGAUCGCGGAAUUCCCGGUGUAGAGGUGAAAUUCGUAGAUAUCAGGAGGAACACCGGUGGCGAAGGCGGCCCUCUGGACGGUGACUGACGCUGAGACGCGAAAGCGUGGGGAGCAAACAGG